This 488-nucleotide ribosomal RNA is filed under the name uncultured bacterium. RNAcentral's name for it is "bacterial SSU rRNA". It matches the Rfam family "Bacterial small subunit ribosomal RNA", at positions 28 to 511 of the family's 1533-position model. The record is from RNAcentral.
GAUGAACGCUAGCGGCAGGCCUAACACAUGCAAGUCGAGGGGCAGCACGUCUUCGGAUGGUGGCGACCGGCGCACGGGUGCGUAACGCGUAUGCAACCUACCUCUUACAGUGGGAUAGCCCAGAGAAAUUUGGAUUAAUACCGCAUAGUAUACAGAUUCAGCAUUGGGACUGUAUUAAACAUUUAUGGGUAAGAGAUGGGCAUGCGUUCUAUUAGUUAGUUGGAGUGGUAACGGCACCCCAAGACAGCGAUAGAUAGGGGCCCUGAGAGGGGGAUCCCCCACACUGGUACUGAGACACGGACCAGACUCCUACGGGAGGCAGCAGUGAGGAAUAUUGCGCAAUGGAGGAAACUCUGACGCAGCAAUGCCGCGUGGACGAAGAAGGCCCUGGGUCGUAAAGUCCUGUUCAUAAGGACGAUAAUCAUUGGGCUAAUAUCCCGAUGUGAGGACGGUACUUGUGAAGAAAGCACCGGCUAACUCCGUGCCAG